This 406-nucleotide ribosomal RNA is filed under the name uncultured bacterium. RNAcentral's name for it is "bacterial SSU rRNA". It matches the Rfam family "Bacterial small subunit ribosomal RNA", at positions 109 to 507 of the family's 1533-position model. The record is from RNAcentral.
AGUAAUACAGUACGGAACCGUACCUAGAAGUGGGGGAUAACGUAGCGAAAGUUACGCUAAUACCGCAUAUUCUGUGAGCAGGAAAGAGGGGGGAUCGCAAGACCUCUUGCUUUAGGAGCGGCCGAUGUCGGAUUAGCUAGUUGGUGAGGUAAAGGCUCACCAAGGCGACGAUCCGUAGCGGGUCUGAGAGGAUGAUCCGCCACACUGGGACUGAGACACGGCCCAGACUCCUACGGGAGGCAGCAGUGGGGAAUUUUGGACAAUGGGCGCAAGCCUGAUCCAGCCAUGCCGCGUGAGUGAAGAAGGCCUUCGGGUUGUAAAGCUCUUUCGGUGGGGAAGAAAUUGCACAGGAUAAUACCUUGUGUAGAUGACGGUACCCGCAUAAGAAGCACCGGCUAACUACGUG